Molecule: non-coding RNA, 540 nt
Organism: Danio rerio (zebrafish)
Lineage: Eukaryota; Metazoa; Chordata; Actinopteri; Cypriniformes; Danionidae
Source: RefSeq, a predicted model, not a curated record
AAAACCAAAAGUUUCUUGCAGUAAUGUUUUUGUAAUAAAUGGAAAGCAAAUGACAGUUCAUACAUGAAUACAUUAGGUUUACUUACUAUUAUAUUCCUCUCACCAUUUCAUUUCCAUUUCAAAAGUCACAAAUAGCCGCUGAGAGACAGUGCGUGUUGACAACAACAAACGCGUUUCGUCAAGAUGUUUGGCACCGUACGCCUUCUGUAGUAGCAGGUGGAUAAUAAAAGGUAAAGUUUUACGUCUGUUCAGCAGGCAGUUCAGCAAGAGAGCAGCACGUAAACAAACUGCUGGCAUAUUUUUUAUUUACAAUUACAAGCUUAAAUAAUAAUCAAUUCAUAUUUAAAUGUGUACUUAAAGUGCUAAGCUAACAAUUUUGCACGAUAAAUGACCUUAUGGAAACUAGACGUACAGUAGCAGGUUUGACUGAAUCUUUCUCUGUGUCUCUGAUGAGGAGGAUGUGAAGCUCAGGACUGGUCAUCAUAUCAACACAUCAAUCUACAGACAAACAUCACAUUUAAUAAAGAUUUAAUGAAGAAA